Molecule: unclassified non-coding RNA, 763 nt
Filed under: Hevea brasiliensis (rubber tree)
Lineage: Eukaryota; Viridiplantae; Streptophyta; Magnoliopsida; Malpighiales; Euphorbiaceae
Source: RNAcentral
GAAAAAUGCAAGUGAAUGGGGCAACUGACCUAGCAUCUAAGUCGCAAAUUGUCUCGGACAGCAGUAAUGUAAAGUUAAAAGAGGAAAUUGAAGAAGAUACUUACCAGAUGGAGAUUCGAUGUCUCUGUGGAAGCUCGCAACAAGCUGAUAAGAUAAUUCAGUGUGAAAAUAUAAGAUGCCGUGCAUGGCGACAUGUGAGCUGUGUCAUCAUUCCGGAAAAACGCAGGGAAGCGGGUUCUCCUCUAGCUUUACCUGAAAAAUUUUACUGUGAAUUUUGCAGAUUGAGUCGCGCAGAUCCGUUCUGGGUGACGGUGUCAAUGCCUUUAUUUCCUACUAAGUGGGCUGUCACUAGUGCACCUUUAGAUAGCACAAACCAAAUGCAAAGGAUUGAAAAAUUAUUUUCCCUCAGUAGAGACGACAUGGAGUUAUUGACGAAGCAGGAAUACGAUGUUCAGGCUUGGUGCAUGCUUCUCAAUGACAAGGUAGAAUUUAGGAUGCAGUGGCCUCAGUAUGCUGAUUUGCAGGUCAAUGGAGUUCCAGUACGUUGCAUAAAUAGACCUGACUCACAAUUAUUAGGUGCAAAUGGUCGAGAUGAUGGUCCAAUAAUCACACUAUUCUCCCGAGAUGGAAUGAACAAAAUUUUGUUAACAGGAUGUGAUGCUCGCAUCUUUUGCUUUGGAGUUAGACUUGUACGGCGUCGUACUCUCGUACAGGUUCUCAAUAUUAUCCCUAAAGAGCCAGAUGGUGAGGCAUUUGAUGAUGC